GACGAACGCUGGCGGCGUGCCUAAUACAUGCAAGUUGAGCGCUGAAGGUUGGUACUUGUCCCCACUGGAUGAGAAGCGAACGGGUGAGUAACGCGUGGGGAAUCUGCCUUUGAGCGGGGGACAACAUUUGGAAACGAAUGCUAAUACCGCAUAAAAACUUUAAACACAAGUUUUAAGUUUGAAAGAUGCAAUUGCAUCACUCAAAGAUGAUCCCGCGUUGUAUUAGCUAGUUGGUGAGGUAAAGGCUCACCAAGGCGAUGAUACAUAGCCGACCUGAGAGGGUGAUCGGCCACAUUGGGACUGAGACACGGCCCAAACUCCUACGGGAGGCAGCAGUAGGGAAUCUUCGGCAAUGGACGAAAGUCUGACCGGGCAACGCCGCGUGAGUGAAGAAGGUUUUCGGAUCGUAAAACUCUGUUGGUAGAGAAGAACGUUGGUGAGAGUGGAAAGCUCAUCAAGUGACGGUAACUACCCAGAAAGGGACGGCUAACUACGUG
RNAcentral lists this ribosomal RNA (497 nucleotides) under uncultured bacterium. RNAcentral describes it as "partial 16S ribosomal RNA". It matches the Rfam family "Bacterial small subunit ribosomal RNA", at positions 28 to 507 of the family's 1533-position model. The record is from RNAcentral.